UACUCUGGAGAGUCUCGUAAAACGAGCGCCGAAGGUGUACAGCGGAAUGACAUAGUUUCCGCCUAUCUCUCAGGCAAAAGGACAGGGC
This 88-nucleotide non-coding RNA is filed under the name human gut metagenome. Its description in RNAcentral is "Glycine riboswitch". It matches the Rfam family "Glycine riboswitch aptamer", at positions 9 to 86 of the family's 94-position model. Rfam says of the family: This family represents the bacterial glycine riboswitch. Glycine riboswitches usually consist of two metabolite-binding aptamers domains with similar structures in tandem. The aptamers cooperatively bind glycine to regulate the expression of downstream genes. The record is from RNAcentral.